This 233-nucleotide ribosomal RNA is filed under the name uncultured bacterium. RNAcentral's name for it is "partial 16S ribosomal RNA". It matches the Rfam family "Bacterial small subunit ribosomal RNA", at positions 118 to 351 of the family's 1533-position model. The record is from RNAcentral.
UGAGUAACCUGCCCCAGACUCUGGGAUAACUUCGGGAAAUCGGAGUUAAUACCGGAUACGAGACGUACCCGCAUGGGUGGUGUCUGGAAAGAUUUAUUGGUCUGGGAUGGACUCGCGGCCUAUCAGCUUGUUGGUGAGGUAAUGGCUCACCAAGGCGACGACGCGUAGCCGACCUGAGAGGAUGGCCAGCCACAUUGGGACUGAGACACGGCCCAGACUCCUACGGGAGGNAG